This 74-nucleotide transfer RNA is filed under the name Dermacentor silvarum. RNAcentral's name for it is "transfer RNA isoleucine (anticodon AAU)". It matches the Rfam family "tRNA". From Rfam's summary of the family: Transfer RNA (tRNA) molecules are approximately 80 nucleotides in length. Their secondary structure includes four short double-helical elements and three loops (D, anti-codon, and T loops). The record is from RNAcentral. Lineage: Eukaryota; Metazoa; Arthropoda; Arachnida; Ixodida; Ixodidae.
GGCCUGCUAGCUCAGUCGGUUAUAGCGUCGUGCUAAUAACGCGAAGGUCGUAGGUUCGAUCCCUGCGCAGGCCA